RNAcentral lists this ribosomal RNA (613 nucleotides) under uncultured bacterium. RNAcentral describes it as "bacterial SSU rRNA". The stretch from base 1 to 520 matches the Rfam family "Bacterial small subunit ribosomal RNA", at positions 338 to 873 of the family's 1533-position model. The record is from RNAcentral.
CCUACGGGAGGCAGCAGUGGGGAAUAUUGGACAAUGGGCGAAAGCCUGAUCCAGCAAUGCCGCGUGAGUGAUGAAGGCCUUAGGGUCGUAAAGCUCUUUUACCCGGGAUGAUAAUGACAGUACCGGGAGAAUAAGCCCCGGCUAACUCCGUGCCAGCAGCCGCGGUAAUACGGAGGGGGCUAGCGUUGUUCGGAAUUACUGGGCGUAAAGCGUGCGUAGGCGGUUAUUCAAGUCAGAGGUGAAAGCCCGGGGCUCAACCCCGGAACGGCCUUUGAAACUAGGUAGCUAGAAUCUUGGAGAGGUCAGUGGAAUUCCGAGUGUAGAGGUGAAAUUCGUAGAUAUUCGGAAGAACACCAGUGGCGAAGGCGACUGACUGGACAAGUAUUGACGCUGAGGCACGAAAGCGUGGGGAGCAAACAGGAUUAGAUACCCUGGUAGUCCACGCCGUAAACGAUGAUAACUAGCUGUUCGGGUACUUGGUAUCUGAGUGGCGCGAGCUACGACAUUAAGUUAUUCCGUCCGUCGGGUAGGUACGGUCGCGAAGAAUUAAACUUAAAACUAGUAAGUUAGUACGGCGUGAGACGUGCCGACGGACGACGACGAGGGAGGUAGG